UUAUUCAGACUUCUUAAAAGUCUACCUUCUUCCUCUGUACUUUCAGCCCAAAGUGAGACUUUUGAGUUGGGAAGAGAUACUUCUGAAUUAAACUACUAAUCACUGUCACCCAAUUCUAAUCCCAACCAUCUUUAUUCUAGGCAUACCAUACUCACUGCCAUGCUUACCCUUCAGUUGGGCACCUUUGCCCUCCUUCCUAUUGGCCUUCUGGUUCCUACCCAACUGUCCAGUCCAUAGGCUUCAAUGACACCUUUUUCCCACACCUGUGGCAGCGUUGGCUGCCUCCUUUACCUACUCAAGUAACCGCUUUACCGCUAAUUUAUUGCUCUCUGUUUUCAUCUAUAGGAUCUUACCUAGCCAUAUGGCCUGCUGCCUCUGCCAACUUAAAAACAGCAUUGAGGCUGUCUGCAAGACAGUCAAGCUGCAUUGCAACAGUGCAUGUCUGACAAACACCAUACAUUGUCGUUUAGGAUUGGGUGUGUGUGUCUCCUCUCUGAAUGGCACUCAAAUGUUUGCUGACUCCUACUCUGUGUGACUGGGGUGUACAGCUAUGGACUGAUGCAUCCCAUCCCAUCAUCUUUCAUGAGCAAAGCAGUCUCUUUUUUGACAGCUGAAGAAGAAUCUGUAGGGAAUCCAGAAGGAGCAUUCAUGAAGACGUUACAAGCCCGGAAGAAUUACACAAGCACUGAGCUGACUGUUGAGCCGGAGGAGCCCUCAGACAGCAGUGGCAUCAACUUGUCAGGCUUUGGGAGUGAGCAGCUAGACACCAAUGACGAGAGUGAGGUUAUCAGUGCACUAAGUUACAUUUGCCAUAUUUCUCAGCAGUAAACCUAGAUGUGGAAUCAAUGUUACUACCGUUCAUUAAACUGCCAACCACAGGAAACAGCCUGGCAAAGAUUCAAACUGUAGGCCAAAACCAGCAAAAAGUGAAUAGAGUCCUCAUGGGCCCAAGGAGCAUCCAGAAAAGGCACUUCAAAGAGGUGGGAAGGCAGAGCAUCAGGAGGGAACAGGGUGCCCAGGCAUCUGUGGAGAACGCUGCCGAAGAAAAAAGGCUCGGGAGUCCAGCCCCAAGGGAGCUGGAACAGCCUCACACACAGCAGGGGCCUGAGAAGUUAGCGGGAAACGCCAUCUACACCAAGCCUUCGUUCACCCAAGAGCAUAAGGCAGCAGUCUCUGUGCUGACACCCUUCUCCAAGGGCGCGCCUUCUACCUCCAGCCCUGCAAAAGCCCUACCACAGGUGAGAGACAGAUGGAAAGACAACACACACACUAUUUCCAUUUUAGAAAGUGCAAAGGCUAGAGUUACAAAUAUGAAGGCUUCUAAACCAAUUUCACAUUCCAGAAAAAAAUACCGCUUUCACAAAACUCGCUCCCGCAUGACCCACAGAACACCCAAGGUCAAAAAGAGUCCAAAGUUCAGAAAGAAAAGUUAUCUGAGUAGACUGAUGCUCGCAAACAGGCCUCCGUUCUCUGCAGCGAAGAGCCUCAUAAAUUCCCCUUCACAAGGGGCUUUUUCAUCCUUAGGAGACCUGAGUCCUCAAGAAAACCCUUUUCUGGAAGUAUCUGCUCCUUCAGAACAUUUUAUAGAAACCACUAAUAUAAAAGACACAACUGCAAGAAAUGCCUUGGAAGAAAAUGUUUUUAUGGAAAACACUAACAUGCCAGAAGUCACCAUCUCUGAAAACACAAACUACAAUCAUCCUCCUGAGGCAGAUUCCGCUGGGACUGCAUUCAACUUAGGGCCAACUGUUAAACAAACUGAGACAAAAUGGGAAUACAACAACGUGGGCACUGACCUGUCCCCCGAGCCCAAAAGCUUCAAUUACCCAUUGCUCAGUUUGAAAUUCAGCUAACCCAGCAGCUACAGUCCCUUAUCCCCAACAAUGUGAGAAGGCUCAUUUCUCAUGUUAUCCGGACCUUGAAGAUGGACUGCUCUGGGGCCCAUGUGCAAGUGACCUGUGCCAAGCUCAUCUCCAGGACAGGCCACCUGAUGAAGCUUCUCAGUGGGCAGCAGGAAGUAAAGGCAUCUGAGAUAGAAUGGGAUACGGACCAAUGGAAGACUCAGAACUACAUUAAUGAGAGCACGGAAGCCCAGAGUGAACAGAAAGAGAAGUCGCUUGAGGUGAGGACCACACAGAAACAUGAGACCCAGAUUUCCCAUCAUUUAGCAUAUCCCAGGAAAGUGCCCACACAGAAGAAUCUGGGACUCCCAGGCCAUAGCUUAUCUUGGCCAUGUAACUUUGGUCAUGACAGUGAUCUCCCACUUUGCUCAUGUAGAGAGUGAAAUAUAGAUUAGGGCACAAGAUGAACUGUAGGCCAGGGGUGGUAGCUCAUGCCUGUAAUCUCAGCACUUUGGGAGGCCAAGGUGGGUGGAUUACUUGAAGUCAGGAGUUUGAGACCAGCUUGGCCAACAUAGUGAAAGCCUGUCUCCACAAAAAAUAAAAAAAUUAGCUGGGUUGAUGACACGUGCCUGUAGUCCCAGCUACUUGGGAGGCUGAGGUGGGAGGGUCACCUGAGCCCAGGGAGGUCGAGUCUAGUGAACGGUGAUUGCACCACUGUACCCCAGCCUGGGUAACAGAGUGAGACCCUCUUUCAAAAAAAUAAAAAAGAACCUGUAAGCUACUCACCUGGAAUACUGGGGUUUUGAAUAGUUAGCUCUCAUUCUGGUGUGUUUUUUUUUGUUUUGUUUUUUUGUUUUUUUUAGCUCACAAAAUAAGUUCCAGGAUAUGGCUAUACUGACAAACUCAUCUUGGCAUUAAUUGUGACUGAAAUACUAAUGAUUUUUAUUAUACUUUUCUGCCUCAUUGUGGUAAGGACAAUAAUUAAUUCAGGUUGUCAGAAUGCAGUCCUGUUUCUGUGUGGAUUCAGAGCUCACAAACUGAAAACCAAAGCCACUUUCCCACCUGCUGCUACUUGACAUACUUCUUCAGUCAUUUAAGGCUGAGGUGUAUGCUUUGUUCUUUUAUUGCAGUGUAUAUUUCAGGAUUUUUAAAAGAUCCUCGCUUCCAGAUCUCUGUGAAUUGAAACCAAGUUAAUCCCACUAGACUAUUUUAAGAAGUCGAUAUAAUAGCAAAAUUUCUCCACCCAAAACUAUGUCAACAAUUGGAUGUACUCAUCAAGUCACCCUUACUCUGCCACUAAUUUAUUUCCUUGGUGCUGAAAUGAUGAGAGAGGUAUAAUCUCCACCCUCACGGAUUUGUCAUCACCCUGGAGAGGAAGGAGAGAGCCAAAAGACAGAAGUAUUGUCUUGUAGACUUAUUAGAUUUACACAGUAUCGUCCUCCAGUGUGUAAGGCAUUGUCUAAAUAGGUCCAGUUAAAGCACUACAGAGUAGCCAUCUUUUACAAAAAUUGUUGGCCACAUUUUUAAGUUCACAGGCGAGGGGGAACGUCUCAUACUCUAGCCCUCCUGAGCCUAGACCCUCUGUGAGAUGUGUCACCAUUUCUUGGACACCAUGUGAGACAUUCCCCCUCAGAUUAGAGAUGCUCAGCCUGCAUCAACUUAUCUAAAGCCUACAUCUGGCUACUCUGGGGCAAGUCCUGUUUACAGUGCCCAUUCCUGGAGCUUGCCUCUGUUUGUCUUUUGUUCGAUUACAUGAUAUAUUACUUUUCCCAACAGGCCAGUGCUAGCAUAUUGGAAGAGUGAUUUAAUAAAGCUGGCAACCUUGACGCUAUGCCACCAGUCCAACCUUAUUUGCCUCAUUUACCAUUUCCAUUAUUGUGGCAGCCCUCCAUUCCAGCCACAGCAGCCCCUCACUAUACCCCAGUCACACCACCCACAUUUCUGCUUCUGUCUGUGUGUUUGUCCAUCUAAAAUGCCCUUAUUUCACUCUGCCUGUGGGAGUCCUAUGCAUCUCUCAAAAGCCAACACAAGUUCAUCUUUCUUCUUGACACCUUCCCUGAAUAUUCCAGCCGUGCUGAGCCUAGUCCCUUUGUGAGAUUUGUCACCAUUUCUUGGACACCAUAUGAGAGACUUCAGAGGCUGAAGUGGGAGGAUCGCUUGAGCCUGGGAGGUCGAGGAUGCAGUGAGCUGUGGUCGUACCACUGCACUCUAGCCUGGGCAACACAGCGAGGCCCUGUCUUAAAAACAGCCACCACCAAAAACUAUCUUGGGAUUUGAAUAGGAUUACGUUAAAUUUGUAGAUUAAUUUGAGAAUUUACAUCUGUACGACAUUGUAGGAAUGUGCUGUCUCAUGAUGGAACUAACAAGGAUACACCUGCUGUCCCCAGCCCUUUUGGGAGGUGGGGAGGGAUAGGAAGGAGAAAGGUUUUGGUGCCUAUUGCUGCUGAUGGUGGGCAUCAGGCCAGGCCAGGGGCCUUCUUGGAGGCUCUGGGAAAGGGGAAGGGAAGGCCACCGGGUGUGAGAGAGAGGGCACUUGUCUCCUUCAAGGCUGAUGGAAGGUAGGAUAUGUGAGUCCUUCCUCUUAAGUGGCAGGAAACAGUAUUUUCUCUUUUCUUUUUUUCCCCUGGAUACUAGAACUGAGGAAACACUAUUUUCUCAUCUUACUGGUUUUUGCGCCCCCACUCUAUUCCUUUUACACAAACCUCACAGAAUUUUAACCAGAAAGGCCAGGCAGGAUGGCUCACGCCUGUAAUCACAGCACUUUGGGAUCACUUGAGGUUAGGAGCUCGUGACCAACCUGACCAACAUGGUGAAACCCCAUCUCUACUAAAAAUACUAAAUUAGCUGGGUGUGGUGGCACAGGCAUGUAAUCCCAGCUAUUUGGGAGGCUGAGGCAGGAGAACUGCUUGAAACCAGGAGGCGCAGGUUGCAGGGAGCCAAGAUAGCACCAUUGCACUCCAGCCUGGGGAACGAGCCAAACUGUCUCAAAUAAAAAAAAACAACAAAAAAGAAUUUUAACUACGGAGAACUUAGAUAGUAGUUUGUCCUUUUAUGACAGGAAAACUGAGAAGGAGAAAGGGAGAGUGUCUUACCCCAUGGUCACACAAUGCACUCUGCCUUUUCCUAUUUUAUUCAAAUUCAAAAAUAACAUGUUGUGGUUUAAGCUGAUUUCGCAGCUCACUCACUCAUCAGCGACAGCCAGCUGUAUGAAGACUGUGAGAUAGAGAACUUGGCUAGCUGCACUCAGGCAUUUGCUUGAGGUGAUCCAACUUAUAGAAUAAAGUAUCUAGAAAAGGAAGAACCACUUCAUCUCCCACCCCCCAUCAAAUGAUGCCUGUGAGACUAAGUCCGAAGGGGACUGAUAUAAAAUGCUUCUGCCCAGCAUGGUUGUGCAGUUUGUUCACUGCACAAGGGCACUUGGCCAAGGGGAUGAGUGGGAAUGAACAUCCUGCCCCUGCUCCAUGCUGAGCCACAUACAAAGUCCCCCCAGUAUAUUGUGGGGCCCUUCUGGACAGACAUGGAGAGCUUCUGAAAGUCCCACAUGCAUGGAAUUAUUUUCAAGACCCCAGGUAUGUGGUCUGUGGUGGUUCUUCUCCCUGUGAUUAUGGACUGAGAUACUCAUUUAGUUCUAAUAAGACCAGAGAAGUACAUUGUGAGAUACGUGGGAAACGGCUGCAUCACUCACUGUCUUGUGCAUGUGUCUCCCCAGGGGCAUUUUCAGAUUUCUGCCACGGAGAUGCUCUUCGCAAAGGGAGAGUCAGGUACAUUGGAGGAUUCAUUGCUGUGACCAGGGAAAGCAGAGGACAUGCAAAAUUAAUAUUUCCCUUUCUAUCUUCUAGGAUGGACUUUUUUCAUUCAGAAAGCCGCUCUGGCUUAAAGACAUGUACAAACCUCUCAGUGCCACAAGAGUAAAGAAUCACGCAUGGAAGCUGCACAAGAAGUCAUCUAAUGAGGACAAGAUCCUCAACAGGGACCCUGGGGACAGUGAAGCCCCAACAGAGAAGGAGGAGGAGAGUGAAGCCCUGCCAUAGGAGGAGAACCCAGCCCACCUCAGGCCUCCUGCAAAAACACAUAGCAUAAACAAUACCAUCAGAAAGAAAAGCAGGACUGAAGCCAGCAGCCCACACAUCCACAGAGGCAGCGGGCAGAGCAAGCACAGGGCCAUCGUUCCUGCCCUUGUUUCCCAGUCUAAUUAGUCACCCAGACCUGAAAACAUAUCCUCAGGGGGUGGAGAUUUUACAAUUAAAUACCAUUGUUUUUGGUGCCCUCUCCCUGGGUUCAUCAAGCACCAGUCAUAUAAUACCACAUACUUGAACUCCUGCCCACAGGGGACCUCCCAUCUCCUGGCCCCUAUUAUAGGAUCACUGGGCCUACCUGCACUGUGGGGCCAAGCCCUGUCUUUUUCCCAAGCCCUCAAGCACACGCAUGAAUGUUCAUCCCGACUUGGUAGGGGGCUUUUCACCCUUACAAGAUGGCAAAAGAUUCACACUGCUUUUUUUAAAAUUUGUUUUUCUUUUUAAAAAUCCCAACCCUUGGAUAGCAAGGGAGGUGCUGGAGGGGUAGGGUCAAGAAGAGUGUGUGAGAACAGUAAUUUCCCAAGACUGCCCUCUGCGGGACUGUAUUUCAGAAAACACACUGGUGGGGCUACCUCUCCAUUCACAUGUACUGCCCUAGCCUCUCCCCAUCCCCGGCUGAUGCACUUCCAUAUCUGCACUGUUCCAUAACAGCAGUAGCAUGUUGCAGAAAGCGCUAGGAUUCCUCCACUCCAUCUUCAAAGAAAAAGUCGCUAAUAAAUCACAUUUGGUAGGUUAGUGAACGUUAAACACAUUAGUGAGCAAAAGAAAAUAGGAAUGAACAAGAAUUGGUCAUCUACCUAACUGAACACAAAUGAACUCUGGCAGUUCGGUAAUAGGAGGUAAAGAACCGCGCUAAUUGCAGAACAGCAGCCCCCCUACCUUCCCAGGAGCAGUGUGACUGGGAAGCAGCCCCGUGUGUAUGCUGGUGCAGGUUCUAAGCAAAGUGAGCUGCCCAUCAGUUCUGAUGAGUUUGCUGAUGCUAGACAUAUGACAUCUGUUCUCUUGCUGCCUGCCCCAGUUAUCUCCCAAAGUUCUUUACUGAGAAUGAAAAGCAUCUUUCUCUGUGUGGUGACUUCAGUAGGCCAACAAAUAUUUGAGUUUAAAGCACAAGACUAAAUAGUCAUAGGCAGAGCAGUGCUACCAUUUACAAUUUGCUUACUUGAUGCUAAACCAUGGGUUAGGCAUUUUACAGUCAUAUCAUCUAGCCCAGCAAGUCAUGGAAGCAUAGUUGUUAAAAUCAUCUGAUACUUUGGGAGGCUGGGGCGGGCAGAUCACGAGGUCAGGAGAUCGAGACCAUCCUGGCUAACAUGGUGAAACCCUGUCUCUACUAAAAAUACAAAAAAAUUAGCCACGGGUGGUGGCAGGAGCCUGUAGUCCCAGCUACUCAGGAAGCUGAGGCAGGAGAAUGGCGUCAACCCGGGAGGUGGAGCUUGCAGUAAGCCGAGAUCAUGCCACUGCACUCCAGCCCGGGCAAGAGAGUGAGACUUCGUCUAAAAAAAAAAAAAUCAUCAUCUGACAGAUAAGGAUACAGGGCUUGAAGAACAUAGGUGACCUGCCCCAAGUGUCCAAAGCCACACAUCCAAAAUGACAAAUUAGGGUUUUAAGCCAGCACUCUUAGACUUCAAAGCCUCUUAACCAUUCCACUGCCCUGCUGUAGGGCAUAGGGAGAUAAGGGGGAUAAGCUAUGGUUGCCAUCAAAGAGUUAAUAUAUCAAUAAUAUGCGGAUGGUGAGGAUGAUGGCAGCUGCUAGGGGUCUACAGGCGUGUACCACCAUGCCCAGCUACAAUUCUUAUUAUUCCCAAAUGCUACUGUGUCCGGAAUUGGUGGGUUCUUGGUCUUACUGACUUCAAGAAUGAAGCCGCGGAACCUCGCGGUGAGUGUUACAGCUCUUAAGGUGGUGCGUCUGGAGUCUGUCCGUUCUGAUGUUGAGAUGUGUUCGGAGUUUCUUCCUUCUGGUGGGUUCGUGGUCUCGCUGGCUCAGGAGUGAAGCUGCAGACCUUCACGGCAAGUGUUACAGCUCUUAAGGCAGCGCGUCUGGAGUUGUUUGUUCCUCCCGGUGGGCUCGUGGUCUCGCUGGGCUCAGGAGUGAAGCUGCAGAUCUUCGCGGUGAGUGUUACAGCUCAUAAAAGCAGCGUGGACCUAAA
Molecule: long non-coding RNA, 8061 nt
Filed under: Homo sapiens (human)
Lineage: Eukaryota; Metazoa; Chordata; Mammalia; Primates; Hominidae
Description: non-protein coding lnc-GOSR2-2:2
Source: RNAcentral